This 72-nucleotide transfer RNA is filed under the name Bos taurus (domestic cattle). It matches the Rfam family "tRNA". Rfam says of the family: Transfer RNA (tRNA) molecules are approximately 80 nucleotides in length. Their secondary structure includes four short double-helical elements and three loops (D, anti-codon, and T loops). Further hydrogen bonds mediate the characteristic L-shaped molecular structure. tRNAs have two regions of fundamental functional importance: the anti-codon, which is responsible for specific mRNA codon recognition, and the 3' end, to which the tRNAs corresponding amino acid is attached (by aminoacyl-tRNA synthetases). tRNAs cope with the degeneracy of the genetic code in two manners: having more than one tRNA (with a specific anti-codon) for a particular amino acid; and 'wobble' base-pairing, i.e. permitting non-standard base-pairing at the 3rd anti-codon position. RNAcentral also lists the same sequence under 2 other names. The record is from Rfam by way of RNAcentral. Lineage: Eukaryota; Metazoa; Chordata; Mammalia; Artiodactyla; Bovidae.
UCCCUGGUGGCCCAGAGGUUAAAGCGUCUGCCUGCAAUGCGGGAGACCUGGGUUCGAUCCCUGGGUGGGGAA